AGAGUUUGAUCAUGGCUCAGGAUGAACGCUAGCGAUAGGCCUAACACAUGCAAGUCGAGGGGCAGCACAUGAAGUAGCAAUACGGAUGGUGGCGACCGGCGCACGGGUGAGUAACGCGUAUGCAACCUGCCUACAACAGGGGAAUAACCCGUUGAAAGACGGACUAAUACCCCAUAACACAGGGAUCCCGCAUGGGAAUAUUUGUUAAAGAUUUAUCGGUUGUAGAUGGGCAUGCGUUCCAUUAGCUGGUUGGUGAGGUAACGGCUCACCAAGGCAACGAUGGAUAGGGGAACUGAGAGGUUUAUCCCCCACACUGGUACUGAGACACGGACCAGACUCCUACGGGAGGCAGCAGUGAGGAAUAUUGGUCAAUGGACGCAGGUCUGAACCAGCCACGUCGCGUGAAGGAAGACGGCCCUACGGGUUGUAAACUUCUUUUGUAAGGGAAUAAAGUGCAGUACGUGUACUGUUUUGCAUGUACCUUACGAAUAAGGAUCGGCUAACUCCGUGCCAGCAGCCGCGGUAAUACGGAGGAUCCGAGCGUUAUCCGGAUUUAUUGGGUUUAAAGGGUGCGCAGGCGGGAGAUUAAGUCGGCGGUGAAAUUUUGCAGCUCAACUGUAAAAGUGCCUUCGAAACUGGUUUUCUUGAGUGUGGAUGAAGUAGGCGGAAUUUGUGGUGUAGCGGUGAAAUGCAUAGAUAUCACGAGGAACUCCGAUUGCGCAGGCAGCUUACUAAACCAUAACUGACGCUCAGGCACGAAGGCGUGGGGAUCAAACAGGAUUAGAUACCCUGGUAGUC
Molecule: ribosomal RNA, 798 nt
Filed under: uncultured Proteiniphilum sp.
Lineage: Bacteria; Pseudomonadati; Bacteroidota; Bacteroidia; Bacteroidales; Dysgonomonadaceae
Description: bacterial SSU rRNA
Rfam family: Bacterial small subunit ribosomal RNA
Source: RNAcentral